Meleagris gallopavo (turkey) is the source of this 1109-nucleotide non-coding RNA. The record is from RefSeq and is a predicted model, not a curated record. Lineage: Eukaryota; Metazoa; Chordata; Aves; Galliformes; Phasianidae.
GCGGGCCCUCGCUGAAAGUUUCUUUCUAAAUGCACUUAACACCCUGUCGCAAUGAGCUUUAUAGGGAAGGGACCUCUAGGGUACAAUAGGGACCCUGUUCACCACCGGAGUACCGUCACAGGCCGGCACUACCUGUCCUCCGGGUCCCAGUCAGGCAUGGCCGUGGCCGAGCACAGCCUAGAUGACUGCAGCCCCGCUAGUCGCUGUCGGGGCACGCAACGAACGCGGAUGAGCUUGUGCGGGCCGAAUGAGAGUGGAGCGGCCAGGCAAGGGUUCCCAAGGUGUCUGCAGACCUCUCGGUCGGACGGGAACUAGAAGUCCCAGCUUCGGGCACUUGAGAGGAACCCCUCGACCCCAAAACACUUGAAUCUCAACGGGAGCAGCUGUUCGCCCUAGCUAGAAAGGAGCUGGCAAAACCUGUUGCACGGAUCUAGAGCUGAGAAAGUCUCUUAGCUUCUUACACGUGAGUACGGACCCUACACCAAGCCCUUCGCAGGCGCUGCAGUUUCGGGCUGCGCCUCCGGCAUCGCUCCCGCACGUCCCGCAGGCCGGGUAGGGCAGGGCCGCCCCUUCCCUACGCCGCGCAGCAGAGCGGUGGCAAAUUGGUGACAUCUGGCCCCGAAUGCUGUGGAACCUUUUUUAACUUUCGAGAAGGAAAAAUCUUCCUGAACGCGUUAGGAAAGGGAGCAAACCCCGACUGCAAAGCCACGGCGGGGGCGAGGCCGGUUGUAGAGCCUUGCGAGGGAACGAAACGACCGGGUGAGGUGCUUUUUGGUGUGGGCGAAAGGGUUCUUUCACUGCAAUCAUACCCCGGAGUGAGCGACCCGAGCCGCCUGCUAAUCGUGUCCUCACCCCGAGGGAACUUUCUGCCGGGUCGCCGUCGGCUCUCCCCGUGCAGCAGCAGUCAAAGGAUCUCCCCGGGCUGAGCGAGGCUCGUGCUUGGCACUGGAGACCUAGCUUCGUCCCGGGCCCGUUCCCGUCCCCAUACCCGGCCCCGGUCACACUCCCUGCCCGAGUGUGACUUCACCGGAGCGUGCAGGACAGGCGGUGUCAGCGCGAGUCCUUGUGAAAUCUAAGUGAAAUAAACCAAAAAGCCGUUUUUCUCGUAA